AGUUCUCUCUCUUUGUUCAGCGAACUUUUGUGUGGUGGAAGUUGCAACAUGUCCUCUUCAGAAAGUUGCUUUGUGAUUGCAGGCGUAGUCUCCAGUCUACUUCACGAUGGGAGUGCUGAAGCACGUGGCUUCGGAUGAUUUGCGCCAUAGGCGUUUGUAGCCCACUUGUUGAACGUCUGUAUUCGAUGCAUCAAUUAUAAAUCGCAGUAAACGCGAUGAAGAGUUCAGUUGGCGAUUUCACAGAUGGUAAGAAUGAAGUUCCCAACUGCAAAAAUGUGGUGGCCUCCUAAGAGGUGAGACCCUUCAUUUUCUACAUUUCAAAUUUUAUGACUCUGAUAAUCCCAUGUGCAUGGAAGACUAACAGUGACUCCUCAGAGGAAGGUUGGAGUAUUGAAUUACAUUUAUAGUAGAACCGGUGUGCACUGCAGUGAUGAGAAACUGUUGCUAAGCUGAUCCAUGGUUAAUGGGCCUGAUUGUAAACUCUCUCCCUGAGCUGUGCGGAACACCAUACUAAAGUGCAUCUCGU
Molecule: long non-coding RNA, 526 nt
Organism: Sinocyclocheilus grahami
Lineage: Eukaryota; Metazoa; Chordata; Actinopteri; Cypriniformes; Cyprinidae
Exons: 3
Source: RefSeq, a predicted model, not a curated record